UCUGCCGACAAGAAACAAAAACCUUCCCCCAGUAUCUUCAAUAUCUGCCCAUUCGUACGUGCCAUAUCGUGUACGUGUCACCGAGAGCAGGGAGGGCAAGCAAGAAUUUGGGAGCGCGUAUCGAGUGCUAUUUUAAGGCCACACAUCCCGCGUCCCGUGCGCGGGCAUGGCACGCAUGGUAAGAGUGAGCGCCACCGGCUAGCAGCAAGCAUCUAAGGCCUGAUGAUCGCUAUCUGAGCAAUUCAGUUCUAACCGCAAUGCCCGGGACGUUGGGGCCCACGAGUGUACCCCAUGCAAAUGCUGUGCCGAAAGAUGGAGCAUACCUUAAAUUCAGACCCGCGCGGAUUGCAUUGCUGAGUAUUUCGUAGAAUUUUGAAAACGCAUUCUACAAUUUGUUGGAUGGGUGACGAUUCGGAUCGAUCGGUAUCUUUGGGUCGAAUGCAUUGAGAAGAGGUGGCAUAUGACAUUUAAAAAAGGCAAAAAUGAAUGUUUUUAGGAGCAGAGUCAAGGGGUACAUAUUCAAGAAGCUCUUUAUACACACAAACAACUAAUCAACGCGAUGGACUAAAUAUCAACCAUGUCCUCCCGAAAGAGCCAAUGCGCCCAGAAAUAGAACCUCGGCUGAAUCACAGAACAUGCUCUUCCGAGCAUCCAUCCAACAAUAAUUGAUAGUCGACCGUCUACAGCAGAUACAGAUAUAGAUACAGCUUCAGCUAACGCUAAAAACAAAAGAAGUCGAAUAAAGAGAACAGAACAGCAUCUUUUAUUACAACA
This is a long non-coding RNA of Anopheles merus, 774 nucleotides long. RefSeq lists it as uncharacterized. Lineage: Eukaryota; Metazoa; Arthropoda; Insecta; Diptera; Culicidae. The record is from RefSeq and is a predicted model, not a curated record. The transcript has 2 exons.